This is a long non-coding RNA of Ictalurus furcatus (blue catfish), 181 nucleotides long. RefSeq lists it as uncharacterized. NCBI's taxonomy places the organism in Eukaryota, Metazoa, Chordata, Actinopteri, Siluriformes, Ictaluridae. The record is from RefSeq and is a predicted model, not a curated record. The transcript is spliced from 2 exons.
GAAAUGUGUGUGUCGGUUCUGUACUGUGACAGAACACAAGAAUCACAAAGUUAUUCCAUUAGAGGAGGAGAGUGGACAGAGGAAGAGUCAGCUGGGGAAAACACAGACGGAGCUGCAGCAGAUGAUCCAGGAGCGACUGAAGAAGAUCCAGGAGAUUAAUCACUCAGUAGAGCUCAGCAAA